This 109-nucleotide non-coding RNA is filed under the name Thalassobacillus cyri. RNAcentral's name for it is "c-di-GMP-I riboswitch aptamer". It matches the Rfam family "c-di-GMP-I riboswitch aptamer". Rfam says of the family: GEMM was predicted in a large-scale screen for bacterial structured RNA regulatory elements. Lineage: Bacteria; Bacillati; Bacillota; Bacilli; Caryophanales; Bacillaceae. The record is from Rfam by way of RNAcentral.
CUUCUGAAAAGGCAAACUUAUCUAAAGGUAAGGACGCAAAGCUACGGGUCUAAGGCCAUCACUUACAAACAAUUAUAUAUUUAGUGGCUAUGACCGCCGGGCUGCCUUG